AUUGAACGCUGGCGGCAUGCUUUACACAUGCAAGUCGAACGGCAGCGCGGGCUUCGUCCUGGCGGCGAGUGGCGAACGGGUGAGUAAUUCAUCGGAACGUGCCCAGUAGUGGGGGAUAGCCCGGCGAAAGCCGGAUUAAUACCGCAUACGACCUGAGGGUGAAAGAGGGGGACCGAGAGUCCUAGAGCCAUUGGAGCGGCCGAUGUCGGAUUAGCCAGUUGGGGGGGUAAAGGCUUACCAAGGCGACCAUCCGUACCUGGUCUGAGAGGACGACCAGCCACACUGGGACUGAGACACGGCCCAGACUCCUACGGGAGGCAGCAGUGGGGAAUUUUGGACAAUGGGGGCAACCCUGAUCCAGCCAUGCCGCGUGCGGGAAGAAGGCCUUCGGGUUGUAAACCGCUUUUGUUCGGGAAGAAAUCCUCUGGGCUAAUACCCCGGGGGGAUGACGGUACCGGAAGAAUAAGCACCGGCUAACUACGUG
RNAcentral lists this ribosomal RNA (484 nucleotides) under uncultured bacterium. RNAcentral's name for it is "partial 16S ribosomal RNA". It matches the Rfam family "Bacterial small subunit ribosomal RNA", at positions 29 to 507 of the family's 1533-position model. The record is from RNAcentral.